GGUUCCAUAGUGUAGUGGUUAGGACAUCUGCCUUACACGCAGAAUGUCCUGGGUUUGCGCCCCAGUGGAGGCA
RNAcentral lists this transfer RNA (73 nucleotides) under Pteropus alecto (black flying fox). It matches the Rfam family "tRNA". Rfam says of the family: Transfer RNA (tRNA) molecules are approximately 80 nucleotides in length. Their secondary structure includes four short double-helical elements and three loops (D, anti-codon, and T loops). Further hydrogen bonds mediate the characteristic L-shaped molecular structure. tRNAs have two regions of fundamental functional importance: the anti-codon, which is responsible for specific mRNA codon recognition, and the 3' end, to which the tRNAs corresponding amino acid is attached (by aminoacyl-tRNA synthetases). tRNAs cope with the degeneracy of the genetic code in two manners: having more than one tRNA (with a specific anti-codon) for a particular amino acid; and 'wobble' base-pairing, i.e. permitting non-standard base-pairing at the 3rd anti-codon position. The record is from Rfam by way of RNAcentral. Lineage: Eukaryota; Metazoa; Chordata; Mammalia; Chiroptera; Pteropodidae.